GCGGCGUGCUUAACACAUGCAAGUCGAACGAGAAUCUGCGGAAAGAGGAUUCGUCCAAUUGAAGCAGAGGACAGUGGCGGACGGGUGAGUAACGCGUGAGGAACCUGCCUUUCAGAGGGGGACAACAGUUGGAAACGACUGCUAAUACCGCAUGACACAUUGGGGUCGCAUGGCCUUAAUGUCAAAGAUUUAUCGCUGAAAGAUGGCCUCGCGUCUGAUUAGCUAGUUGGUGAGGUAACGGCCCACCAAGGCGACGAUCAGUAGCCGGACUGAGAGGUUGAACGGCCACAUUGGGACUGAGAUACGGCCCAGGCUCCUACGGGAGGCAGCAGUGGGGAAUAUUGGGCAAUGGGCGCAAGCCUGACCCAGCAACGCCGCGUGAAGGAAGAAGGCUUUCGGGUUGUAAACUUCUUUUGUCAGGGACGAGUAGAAGACGGUACCUGACGAAUAAGCCACGGCUAACUACGUGCCAGCAGCCGCGGUAAUACGUAGGUGGCAAGCGUUGUCCGGAUUUACUGGGUGUAAAGGGCGUGUAGCCGGGAGGGCAAGUCAGAUGUGAAAUCCACGGGCUUAACUCGUGAACUGCAUUUGAAACUGUUCUUCUUGAGUAUCGGAGAGGCAAUCGGAAUUCCUAGUGUAGCGGUGAAAUGCGUAGAUAUUAGGAGGAACACCAGUGGCGAAGGCGGAUUGCUGGACGA
This 698-nucleotide ribosomal RNA is filed under the name uncultured Lachnospiraceae bacterium. RNAcentral describes it as "bacterial SSU rRNA". It matches the Rfam family "Bacterial small subunit ribosomal RNA", at positions 39 to 736 of the family's 1533-position model. The record is from RNAcentral. Lineage: Bacteria; Bacillati; Bacillota; Clostridia; Lachnospirales; Lachnospiraceae.